UAAGCAAAAGCCCGCAGGAUAGGGUGUUUAGCUGUUAACUAAAUUGUUUAUGGGAUCAAGGCCGAUUUGUCUAG
Non-coding RNA from Pelodiscus sinensis (Chinese soft-shelled turtle), 74 nucleotides. NCBI's taxonomy places the organism in Eukaryota, Metazoa, Chordata, Testudines, Trionychidae. The record is from Ensembl.